RNAcentral lists this ribosomal RNA (288 nucleotides) under Clostridioides difficile. Its description in RNAcentral is "partial 23S ribosomal RNA". It matches the Rfam family "Bacterial large subunit ribosomal RNA", at positions 2044 to 2330 of the family's 2925-position model. Lineage: Bacteria; Bacillati; Bacillota; Clostridia; Peptostreptococcales; Peptostreptococcaceae. The record is from RNAcentral.
GUAAUUCCGGUGAAGAUGCCGGAUACCUGCGACAGGACGGAAAGACCCCAUGGAGCUUUACUGUAGCUUGACAUUGGGUCUUGGUACUACAUGUACAGGAGAGGUGGGAGGCUUUGAAACCAGGACGCCAGUUUUGGCGGGGCCAUCCUUGGGAUACCACCCUUGUAGUACUGGGACUCUAACCAUAGGCCAUGAAUCUGGUCUUGGGACACUGUCAGGUGGGCAGUUUGACUGGGGCGGUCGCCUCCCAAAAGGUAACGGAGGCGCUCAAAGGUUCUCUCAGUACGG